This 979-nucleotide long non-coding RNA is filed under the name Ananas comosus (pineapple). RNAcentral describes it as "long non-coding RNA (ACOM_LNC012939)". The record is from RNAcentral. Lineage: Eukaryota; Viridiplantae; Streptophyta; Magnoliopsida; Poales; Bromeliaceae.
CCAAUCAUACCAAAAAUAUUUAAACUAUCUCUACCACCAACUACUAUCAGAGAUGCCAAUAGAUACGAAUACUCUAAAAAUUUUUCGGACCCGAAUCCGAACGGAAUAGAUUUAUCCGAUACUAAAAUAGAUAUAGUUUUAGAUAUGAAUAUCAGGAACAAAAAUUUGAUGGAUUUGAAUUCGAAUAUGAUUUUUGAUUAUAUCCGAUCCAAACCGAACCAGAAUUGAUUUUACAUAUAUAUAUAUAUAUAUAAUAUUAAUUAAUUAUAUAUAUAUAUAUAUAUAUAUAUUAUAUAUAUAUAUAUAGUCAGCUACUAUACUAUCGAUAGUACCAAGCCUUUUACUAUUGAGUUUCUACCGUAUAUCUAUCUUCAAUCAUUCCACCCGUUAGAUUAUACUAUUAAACCAACCACCCACUCAACCCUAGGGAACCACUAUCAAUUUAACUGGGGACCACUAUCUUCCUAACCACAUAUCUUUUCAUCCAACGGCCAAAAACUCAAUAGUACCAAAGGCCUGAUACUAUUGAUAGUAUAAUAGCAUAAUUCUAUAUAUAUAUAUAUAUAUAUAUAUAUAUAGCCGAUCGUCAAUUUGGAAGUUCUAUCAUCGAAAACAAACCAGUAGUAAAACAGCUCGUUUACUACCGAUAGUAUUCUAGCAAAACUCUCUCUCUCUCUCUCUCUCUCUCUCUCUCUCUAUAUAUAUAUAUAUAUGUUUGAUAUUAUAUUUGAAUUUAUAAUUUAAAAUUGUAGAUUUAAUAUAAUAUGUCAUGAGAUAUUAUAAAGAGAAAUAAUUACUACGAGUUCGAAUUUUCGGGUUCGAAUUCGGAUUUUUGGUCAAGUUCGGGUUUGGAUAUGAUUUUUUUAAAAUUUGUCGGAUUCGGAUUCAAACUUGGGUUUUGAAUUUGACGAUCGGGUUCAGAUUCAGAUUUUUAAAAAUCUGCUCGAAUUCGAUCAGUUGACAUCCCUAACUCAUAUAU